CGCGUAGGCGGCGAGGCAAGUUGGAUGUGAAAGCCCUGGGCUCAACCUAGGAUGUGCAUACAAAACUGCCUCGCUUGAAUCUCGGAGGGGGUCAGGGAAUUCCCGGUGUAGAGGUGAAAUUCGUAGAUAUCGGGAGGAACACCAGUGGCGAAGGCGCUGACCUGGACGAUGAUUGACGCUGAGGCGCGAAAGCGUGGGGAGCAAACAG
RNAcentral lists this ribosomal RNA (208 nucleotides) under uncultured delta proteobacterium. Its description in RNAcentral is "partial 16S ribosomal RNA". It matches the Rfam family "Bacterial small subunit ribosomal RNA", at positions 568 to 775 of the family's 1533-position model. Lineage: Bacteria; Deltaproteobacteria. The record is from RNAcentral.